GCCUCUACACAAGAUAGGCAUCGGUUGCUCACCUGACAGCACCACACACGCACACCGACGUGCACACGUCGGCUUUCCACCGUCGCUCACCCGCUCUCUUGCUCUCUAUCACACACCUUUUUUUUUAGUUGGCGGUCGUGAUGUCUGGCACAAGGGUGCUUAUAAAGGAGUCCGCAAUGCCGGUGGACAUGCAGCAAGACUGCGCCGACUGCGCCGCGCACGCGCUCUUCACCUUGAAGCUGCGCGAGCAAACCGAUCUGGCGCAGUUCAUCAAGAAGGAGCUGGACGUCAAGUACGGCGGACAGUGGCACUGCAUCGUAGGACACUCCUUCGGCUCCUGCGUUGGCCAUGAUGAGGCGUACUUCAUCUACUUCGAGAUCAACGGUAUCUUCUUUAGCAUGUGGAAGAUGGACGUGACGCUCGAAGCGAAGCAGGUGCCGAUCAACAGUGCAGGACGCACUGUGCCGGCGUCCGCCUAGAGGCGACGCGUGCGUCUUGUCGUGUACCGGACCCUGGCGAGGCGCAACACCAGUCAUGGUGGGCGGCACCAUCGCGACAACAAUGCGGCUGCGAUGCACCGAAGGAGCAGAGGUGUCCUGCAGAUGAGCGGCAGAAUUCUGAAGCUGCAGCACAGCACACGUCGCCUAUGUCAGCCCGCUGCUGUGCUAUAGCCCCCGUUGUUUUUUUCGGUCGGAGAACGGCCGAGCUGUCUCCGCUGAUGUAUCAAGAAAAAAAGAGAGAUGCUGCAGAACGCUCCCUGCGUUUGAAUCACAGCUAGCCCUGUCUUGCUUCCAUGCAGCCCACCAACAGGCUGACGGACAAGCUGAAGCGCGGGUAGUGCGCAGCAGCACACAGGCAGAGUUACCUCUUUCUCUCCCUCCCCCUCUCCCUCUCGUGCGUUCGUGUACGUGAGGAGCAGCGGCUAGAUGAUGUGUACUACCUCUAUUCCUUCUCUCCUUUUCGGGGGGGAGGAGGAAGAAGAGGGGGGCCCCGAUGGUACGGCUGAUCGCAACUGUGCCAUCCACGUUGCUGCUGCGUUUCUUUCAGUGCGCACGCAUCAUGUCCAGCGCGUUGGCAUUGCCUGCAUCUCUUUUCCGCUUUUUGCUCCGUUCUUCUGUCUGCUCCUCUUCACGUUUUCCCUCUCCGCACUGAACCUGUGGCCUCUUGGUGUCCCACGCCAACACACAAACACACGCAUGCAUCACUGAUGGAUCGAUCGUUGCAG
This 1225-nucleotide unclassified non-coding RNA is filed under the name Leishmania donovani. Its description in RNAcentral is "gene:LdHU3.19.1110(CDS-product:dynein_light_chain _putative)". Lineage: Eukaryota; Euglenozoa; Kinetoplastea; Trypanosomatida; Trypanosomatidae. The record is from RNAcentral.